This 90-nucleotide transfer RNA is filed under the name Alphaproteobacteria bacterium. Its description in RNAcentral is "tRNA-Ser". It matches the Rfam family "tRNA". Rfam says of the family: Transfer RNA (tRNA) molecules are approximately 80 nucleotides in length. Their secondary structure includes four short double-helical elements and three loops (D, anti-codon, and T loops). Further hydrogen bonds mediate the characteristic L-shaped molecular structure. tRNAs have two regions of fundamental functional importance: the anti-codon, which is responsible for specific mRNA codon recognition, and the 3' end, to which the tRNAs corresponding amino acid is attached (by aminoacyl-tRNA synthetases). tRNAs cope with the degeneracy of the genetic code in two manners: having more than one tRNA (with a specific anti-codon) for a particular amino acid; and 'wobble' base-pairing, i.e. permitting non-standard base-pairing at the 3rd anti-codon position. RNAcentral also lists the same sequence under 4 other names. Lineage: Bacteria; Pseudomonadati; Pseudomonadota; Alphaproteobacteria. The record is from RNAcentral.
GGUGAGGUGGCCGAGUGGUUUAAGGCGCACGCCUGGAACGCGUGUAUAGGGGAAACUCUAUCGAGGGUUCGAAUCCCUCCCUCACCGCCA